Molecule: ribosomal RNA, 795 nt
Filed under: uncultured fungus
Lineage: Eukaryota; Fungi
Description: eukaryotic LSU rRNA
Rfam family: Eukaryotic large subunit ribosomal RNA (bases 560-795)
Source: RNAcentral
UGCUGGUCCCUGUAUGGGGGGCAUGUGCACGCUCUGUUUACACAUCCACUCACACCUGUGCACCCUCUGUAGUUCUAUGGCCUGGGGGGCUCUGUCCUCCUGCUGUGGUCCUACGUCUUUACACACACACCGUAGCAAAGUCUCAUGGAAUGUAUGUCGCGUUUAACGCAAUGAAAUACAACUCUCAGCAACGGAUCUCUUGGCUCUCGCAUCGAUGAAGAACGCAGCGAAAUGCGAUAAGUAAUGUGAAUUGCAGAAUUCAGUGAAUCAUCGAAUCUUUGAACGCACCUUGCGCCCUUUGGCUAUUCCGAAGGGCAUGCCUGUUUGAGUAUCAUGAACACCUCAACUCUCAUGGCUUGCCCAUGAUGAGCUUGGACUUUGGGGGUCUUGCUGGCCUGUGGGCCGGCUCCUCUCAAAUGAAUUAGCUUGCCAGUGUUUGGUGGGCAUCACAGGUGUGAUAACUAUCUACGCUUGUGGUCUUCCGCCAGGUAAUCUUCAGCAAUGAAGGUUCGCUGGAGCUCAUAAACGUCUCUCCUUGGUGGGGACAGAUUUGACCAUUUGAUCUCAAAUCAGGUAGGACUACCCGCUGAACUUAAGCAUAUCAAUAAGCGGAGGAAAAGAAACUAACAAGGAUUCCCCUAGUAACUGCGAGUGAAGCGGGAAGAGCUCAAAUUUAAAAUCUGGCGUGCCUCUGGCCGUCCGAGUUGUAGUCUGGAGAAGCGUUUUCCGUGUUGGACCGUGUAUAAGUCUCUUGGAACAGGGCGUCAUAGAGGGUGAGAAUCCCGUCUUUGACAC